RNAcentral lists this ribosomal RNA (472 nucleotides) under uncultured bacterium. RNAcentral's name for it is "partial 16S ribosomal RNA". It matches the Rfam family "Bacterial small subunit ribosomal RNA", at positions 28 to 507 of the family's 1533-position model. The record is from RNAcentral.
GACGAACGCUGGCGGCGUGCUUAACACAUGCAAGUCGAACGCUGAAGCUUGGUGCUUGCACUGGGUGGAUGAGUGGCGAACGGGUGAGUAAUACGUGAGUAACCUGCCCUUGACUCUGGGAUAAGCCUGGGAAACUGGGUCUAAUACUGGAUACGACAUGCCACUGCAUGGUGGUGUGUGGAAAGGGUUUUACUGGUUUUGGAUGGGCUCACGGCCUAUCAGCUUGUUGGUGGGGUAAUGGCCUACCAAGGCGACGACGGGUAGCCGGCCUGAGAGGGUGACCGGCCACACUGGGACUGAGACACGGCCCAGACUGCUACGGGAGGCAGCAGUGGGGGAUAUUGCACAAUGGGCGGAAGCCUGAUGCAGCGACGCCGCGUGAGGGAUGACGGCCUUCGGGUUGUAAACCUCUUUCAGCACGGAAGAAGCGAGAGUGACGGUACGUGCAGAAGAAGCGCCGGCUAACUACGUG